UAUAUAUAUAUAUAUAGGGUUGGGAUCUACAAAGAAGGCCCUAAGAGUAAAGAAUAAAGAAGGAAUCUUAACCAUUGAUUUAGAAUAAAUCAACGGCCUAGAUGGCUUAAUUACUACCGGAUUUAAAGCCAUAAUUAACAGGAAAAAUCCAAAAAAUAAACACUAAAACACGUCUAAGGGCAUAAUGGGAAGCAGAUAUUUUCUGAAUAACUACCCGAAAUAACUCUGGGCGGUAAUUAAGGGAUUUACCUUGCCCAACGUCUCCAAAACCUAGCGAUAGGAAACAUUCGACUCUCUCCAGAAAUGAAUCAGCGGCGAUUCAGCGAACAAGCUUGGGCGACGUUCACUCCCCCUCUAGUAGUUUUCGACGACGGCUUGAAUCGUGUGAUUUCCGGCGGCGCUCCGUGAACAGAGUGUAAGUGUUUAUUUUAUUUAUUGCUUGUUUGGUAUUUUCUGAGAAAGGCAUAUAUUUUGUGAAGAAGAAUGGAAGAUUUGUGGAAAAAAAUGGUGGAGACCUGCGAUUCAAUGGUGGAUUCAAUUUUAGUGUGAGAAAAUUUAUAUGAAAAAUAUGUGAUUUUUCGUGUCUGUAUUGAACGAUGCAUAAGAACGAGACGUGAAUAUUUAUAGAUUUGGGAAAUUCUGGUAAUCCCCUCUCAUCCACCCCCUAUAUCCCCGCCACCACCCCAUUCUCGUCGUCGGCUGCGGCAAUUCCGAUAAUCCCUUUCUCUUCACCUUUUCACCUUCUAUGUGUGUUGUGAGCUACCUAUAUCUGAUUUCAAAAUUGAUCUUUGCACAUUGAUUGACCGAGUAAAACGAAUCUUGCCACGUUUUUGACGUGAUUAAUUCAGCAGGAUUGACACCUUAAAGAUUGUUGUUUUCUCUCUCUGCAUUCGAGGUUUUCACCUGCACUUUAUCUGCAAACUAUUUAAGGUAUAAACUACACAUUUGCACAGCUGAUCAAUUCUUGAUUUGGCCAUUUGAUUGAGUAAUUCUUGUUAGAGCCUAAUUCGUAGUAUAUGUUGUGAUUGCUAUGUGUGAAGAAGAUGAUAAUUCUUGUUGUUUUUCAGUGGCAUUGCUAAGCUGAAGUUGAAUUCUAUUUUUUCUUAUUUGUGAUUUAUUGAUUAGGCUGCAUUUGGUGUAUGGAAGAGUCUGAUUCCGUGAGCAAGUAUGCCCUUCACUUAUUACUAAUCAUGCACAAAAAUGCUUCUGUGUUGGGCAUGACAAUGCAUUUGCAAAAAAUCAAUGAAUCAUAAGUACUCAGCAGCAGGCAUCAUAUGAAGAUUGUAACUUGCAUCAGUAAGAUACAUAUAUGGAUAUUACACGAAAAACAACCUCAUACAGGAUAUUCAGACAAUACCGGACGCAGAGCAGAAUUAGCAUUUUGCUGUUGGUUUUUCCCAGACCAUUGAACUGCAUCCAUUAGGACAUCCCAGAGAAUCCGCACAACUUCAAUAUCCGGGAAUUUAGCAUCUUUCACAUGUUGUUUAACUGUUUCAAUGACUUCAGCUACAUCAGCUGCUUCACUUAUCUGAUUUGUUAUUGCAGUUUUCAUCUUCUUAAGCUUGACCUCAAACAACUUCUUCUCAUUGUACUCAACCAGCAGGAGAAGCCCUUCCUUGCUGAGAUAUGAAGAAAUCAAAGAUAGCUUAAAGAUGAUAGUGAAAGUUGUCAAGGUGGGAUGGGUGAUAAUAUCGUCCGAGAAAGAGAUAUGCAAGCAGGAUUUGUGGCUUUAGAAUGAGUUGAUGAACAACUAUUCAUAGUGUUCAGACAUUAUUGUGUGAUAUUCAUUACUGAAUAAUAUUUAUUCAGAACUUAUUCAUGUUAUUUAGAACUUAUUUAUAACUGAAUAGUAGUUAUUCGAAAGGUACACUAGAUUAUUCAGAACUUAUUCAUGUUAUUCAGUUUCAUGUUUCACUUAUUCGAUUAAUAACAAAGUGGUAUUCGAUAAAUUUUUAAUAUUAUUUACUAUAAUUUUAGCGAAUUAUGCAGUUAGAUUAUGUGUUAUUCAGU
RNAcentral lists this long non-coding RNA (2010 nucleotides) under Salvia miltiorrhiza (redroot sage). RNAcentral describes it as "long non-coding RNA (SMIL_LNC004795)". Lineage: Eukaryota; Viridiplantae; Streptophyta; Magnoliopsida; Lamiales; Lamiaceae. The record is from RNAcentral.